RNAcentral lists this ribosomal RNA (395 nucleotides) under uncultured bacterium. RNAcentral describes it as "bacterial SSU rRNA". It matches the Rfam family "Bacterial small subunit ribosomal RNA", at positions 28 to 417 of the family's 1533-position model. The record is from RNAcentral.
GACGAACGCUGGCGGCGCGCUUAACACAUGCAAGUCGAGCGAGAACCAUGCCUUCGGGCAUGGGGACAGCGGCGAACGGGUGAGUAACACGUGGGUAAUCUGCCCUUGACAUCGGGAUAGCCCGGGGAAACCCGGAUUAAUACCGAAUAGCCUCCGAAGCCCUCGGGCGUCGGAGAAAAGGUAGCUUCGGCCUCUGGUCAAGGAUGAGCCCGCGGCGGAUUAGCUUGUUGGCGGGGUAACGCCCACCAAGGCGACGAUCCGUAGCUGGUCUGAGAGGACGAUCAGCCACAUCGGGACUGAGACACUGCCCGGACUCCUACGGGGGGCUGCAGUAACGAAUCUUCCGCAAUGCACGAAAGUGUGACGGAGCGACGCCGCGUGGAGGACGAAGUCCU